This is a long non-coding RNA of Oncorhynchus masou masou (cherry salmon), 334 nucleotides long. RefSeq lists it as uncharacterized. Lineage: Eukaryota; Metazoa; Chordata; Actinopteri; Salmoniformes; Salmonidae. The record is from RefSeq and is a predicted model, not a curated record. The transcript is spliced from 4 exons.
AGAAGAAAUGGCUGGAGCAGUUUGAGAUGGCCCUGUCCAACAUGUGUCCAGAGAACUGUACUGCCAACAGUCAUGACUUCCAGAUGCACUGCUUUUGAAGAUACCACCUCCUGCAAGGCCUGCAGUAUGCUCCUCAGGGGGAUAUUCUUCCAGGGGUAUCGUUGUAGUCGUUGCAGAAUGGCCGCUCAUAAAGAAUGUCUGGGAAGAGUACCAGGCUGCGGACGCAACUCAGACCACUCAGGGAACAUGAAGAAGGUAAGGCUCCUUUCAGAGGCUCUUUAUCUGGCAGCCUGUCACUAUACUACUGAGGAAUGACUGUGAGCUAGGAGCAUUA